GGCUCUCAGCACCUCCACUAUACAAAUUGUUCCAGCACCCUUGGGCAGAACAGGUUAUUAAGCUGAUUAAUCUGAUAGCCUGCACCUGGGUGAGAGCCAGAGCCUGAAACACUAAUUGAUGAUGAAGCCUAGCUGGGCAGGGGCUUGUAGAAAGCCAGCAAGCUAAGACUGGAAGGGGGCUGCAGGUAGUCUGUAGUCACUCCUGGGGAGAAGAGAGGUAUGUUUGGGGCUAUGGAGGCUGUCAAGAAGCCAGAGAUAGUGUAGUCUGUAACUCCUUCCUGAGAGCAGGGAGUUUGGGCUUGUAAACUCAAAGGAGGUCCAAAAGAUAAAGAGGGAAGUAGGAAGAAGUCCAGGGAAGUAGCAACAGGAUCUGGGAGCUAGCAGGCUAUAGUUGUCAAAUAUAAGGUCCCUGGCCUGGAACCCAGAGUAGUGGGUGAGCCUAGGUUCCUCUAUUAGCUGCUGGGAAAGCAGCACUGGACUUGGCCUUGGGCUGGAAGGUUGACUGGAAUGGCCAAUGGGACUUUGAUACCCUGGAAGGGGAGAGCUAUAGUGAUUUGGCUGGAGGGCUGAGUCAUGAAGAAGGAGCACCCUGAAUCCCAGAGAAAGAUCGAGACCACACGGUGAGGAACUGGCAGAUGGAGGCAUCAGGCUGGUGGAGAGUUAAUUCCCAAGGUGGCCAGAAGGAGGUGCCCUAGUGGAGUUUCUCCUGCUCCUGGUUGGAGGCUAACAGGCUCUGUAGGGAAGCAUGCAAUCUGGGUCCAGCAGCAAUGACUUUGCAGAUCACCUUCCUCUCGGCAGGCUGGGUUACAGAGAGAAGGAGGAGAGUAUGCUGUGAAGGCAGGGUAGUGUGAAGAAUAGAAGAGAAGCCAAGCCCUGUUUUAUCUAUUAGUACUUUUCCUUUUCCUGCUUUAUCAGAGAAGGCCCUUCUGUCUCACCUCUUCUGUUUCUCUCUUAUUUUUGUAAUCAUUUUAAGAAUUCUGUGACAAAAUCUGAAUCAGAGAAAUGUAGGCCUGGAAGGGACCUUGAGAAAUCAAGUCCUGCCCCCUGAGAUGUGGCAGGCCCAAGUAAACCUAAAAUUAUCUUCUUCCCUUAUAUUUAAAAAGCAAACAAACAAAAAACCCACUCCACUUUUGCAAGUGUUGAUACAAUUAAUUUAAACUUAAAAUGUCUUGGAAAGCUCACGGCUUUGGAUGGAAAAUAUCGCCCAGUUGUUCCUGAUGAAUCCCUUAUUCUUUAUUGAAACUUCCUAAGUAGUUCAAGUAUCCCUGAGGAUUGUAACAGAUUUCCAUUUUCAAAUCCAGCUCAAUUCAUCAUUGCAUGUUGGUCCCUUGACUUCUUUUUCCUUUAUUUUGUAUCAUGUCUGCCUCUUCUAGCUGAGUCCUCUGAAUCAUUUACUUGAAGAAUUCUCCUAAGCUGUCUCAAUGAAGAGCAUUCUUAGCUUUGAAAGUCACCUGGGUAUUUCCUGCCUGCUCCAAGCCAUGAAUCCUCAGAUCCUCUGUUUUGGUCUCAUUGUUUCAGAUCUCCCCAUGGGGAAUUCUUAGUCUUUUUUUUUUCUAUAGAUAUUUUUCAC
Mauremys mutica (yellowpond turtle) is the source of this 1570-nucleotide long non-coding RNA. RefSeq lists it as uncharacterized. The transcript is spliced from 3 exons. The record is from RefSeq and is a predicted model, not a curated record. Lineage: Eukaryota; Metazoa; Chordata; Testudines; Geoemydidae.